UACGUAGGCAGCGAGCGUUGUUCGGAGUUACUGGGCGUAAAGGGUGUGUAGGCGGUUUUCUAAGUUUGGCGUGAAAUCUCCCGGCUCAACCGGGAGGGUGCGCCGAAAACUGGGAGACUAGAGUGCGGGAUGGGAGAGUAGAAUUCCUGGUGUAGCGGUGAAAUGCGUAGAUAUCAGGAGGAAUACCGGUGGUGUAGACGGCUCUCUGGACCGCCACUGACGCUGAGACACGAAAGCGUGGGUAGCAAACAGG
This 253-nucleotide ribosomal RNA is filed under the name uncultured bacterium. RNAcentral's name for it is "partial 16S ribosomal RNA". It matches the Rfam family "Bacterial small subunit ribosomal RNA", at positions 524 to 776 of the family's 1533-position model. The record is from RNAcentral.